RNAcentral lists this ribosomal RNA (484 nucleotides) under uncultured bacterium. RNAcentral describes it as "bacterial SSU rRNA". It matches the Rfam family "Bacterial small subunit ribosomal RNA", at positions 62 to 543 of the family's 1533-position model. The record is from RNAcentral.
UCGAACGGCAGCGCGGGGCAACCUGGCGGCGAGUGGCGAACGGGUGAGUAAUAUAUCGGAACGUACCCAGAAGUGGGGGAUAACGUAGCGAAAGUUACGCUAAUACCGCAUACGAUCUACGGAUGAAAGUGGGGGACCUUCGGGCCUCAUGCUUUUGGAGCGGCCGAUAUCUGAUUAGCUAGUUGGUAGGGUAAAGGCCUACCAAGGCGACGAUCAGUAGCUGGACUGAGAGGACGACCAGCCACACUGGGACUGAGACACGGCCCAGACUCCUACGGGAGGCAGCAGUGGGGAAUUUUGGACAAUGGGCGCAAGCCUGAUCCAGCAAUGCCGCGUGAGUGAAGAAGGCCUUCGGGUUGUAAAGCUCUUUUGUCUGGGAAGAAACGGCUCUAGCUAAUAUCUGGGGCUAAUGACGGUCCCUGAAGAAUAAGCACCGGCUAACUACGUGCCAGCAGCCGCGGUAAUACGUAGGGUGCAAGCGUUA